AUCUUCCUGGUUGUAAGUACGUCUUGUAAAGUUAUGAAAAGACUUCUUUACUUAAUUUUUCAGUUGUGUUUAUUUUAUCAGACAAGAGUUCUACAAGUUAAACCCAUGUUACUAUACGUACCAGAAAACUCUUUUACUGAAGUAUAUAUCAUCACUGAUGAUCAUGUUGCUUGUAUCUAUUUUCUUUUGAUCGUAUAUAUUAGAAAUUUUUGCGUCACAUCAAGUGUAAAAGUUCAAAUACAAUAAAUGUGAUGUUACGAACAUGUUAUAUCCCAACUUUGGUUUAAAUCUAUACUCUCUGUCUAGGGUAGUGUUUAUGACCUAAAUUUUAAACACUAACAAUCAAUAUAAUUUCUAAAAUCACUUAAUACAUAUUUUCUCCAUUAAGAUUGAUUCUUGAACGGGAAAUAACCAAAAUUAAACCACGUUUCAUAGACCAUUGUAAUUGACCGCCUAGUAUAAAUAGUUUUGACUUCAGGGUUACAUUACUUUUUAUUCUUCAUGGCAUGACCAACUUUUUUCCCGACUAAAUCACAAUUUCAAUUUUUUUUUACUACAUACAAGAUAUGAAAAUUCUGUAACUGUUUUUACUAGGCCGCACCACUUCCAGUAAACAUGAUAUCCUUCCACUUUCCUGGAUUGAUUUCUUAAAAAAGACGUAAGAAUUUUUUUGAAUCCAUAUAUAUGUUUCAAAUAAAAAUAAACUUUGAAUCGAACAAAAAUAAAUGCAGGAAAAAUGGACAAUUUUAUUUCACGAAUAAUAUGACUAGGGGAGCCAUCAAUCUUUCGUUUGUGCAUUGGGGUCGAUUAAGGGGUAUUGGGGGACAUAUAGAAGAGAGGGGUUUACUAUAGAACCCUAUGGGAUUUUAUUUUUUAAAUUUUCAAUAAAACCAAUUAAAGAAAUAAAAAAAAAGUCCCUGGGGGUGACCUCCAUUCUCUUUCAAUUUGACAAUGUGCUAUUAUCUUGUAAACGAUAUAGAUCCCAUACCCUAAACUAUGAAUAUAUUCUUUAAUGGGACAAUAAAAUGAAUCAAGUGAAAUAAAAGGGAAGUACCCCGGGGGUCAUCCCCACCCCCUAUUGUUUGAAAAAUUGCAAAUGGUCAAGAUGCCCCACCGCUAAACCAUAUAUAUUCUUGUAAUAAUAAAACACAUUAGAUGAAAUAUAGGGACAGUCCAUGGGGGUCACCCCCACUCCCUCAUGUUUGAAAAACUUUUAAAUGGCUGAGAUCCCCACCCCAAAACCAUAUAUGUUAUUGUAUGUGACAAUAAAACAAAUCAAAUGAAAUAAAAGCGAAGUUCAUAGGGGUCCCUCCUACCUGUUCAAUUUUUAAAUGUGCUAUUAUCUUGUAAAUGGUUGAGAUCCCCACAUCUAAGCCUUAUAUAUUCUUGUAUGGGACAAUAAAACAAAUCAAGUGAAAAAAGGGAAGUCCAUGGGUGUCACCCACCCCCUCAAGUUUGAUAAAUUGUAAACGGUCAAUAUCCACACCCCUAAACCAUAUAUAUUCUUGUAUAGGACAAUAAAACAAAUCAAACGAAUUGGCAUGGCGAAUAAUGGGAGCUUUGUUUGGGAGACUUCGUAACAGCAUCCUGUUACAAUUACUUCUUGAUUUUUAGACUACUUACAUUUUUUAACCAAAAGAGAAGUAAAUGAUAAGGUGAUAACAAAAAGUAAAAUAAAAAAAAAUAUAAGACAGAAAGUUCCUUAUCAAAAAACAAAAAAAGCUCAAUUUCCGAAAAGUUCAGUUUUUUGGUUAAUUUAUUUUUUUCCUAACAAACAUUUACUUUUUUUUUAAUAAACAGCAGUAAUCCCGUCUAUUUGAAAUCUGAUUAUUAAGUUAUAACGCAUGACAUGGGUAAAAUCUCUUUGUUCUUACUGUGCUUUAAUCUGGAUAAUGCACAGCAAAGGUGUGCAUUAACUACCUCAGAUAUACUGCACAGUUCAAAUCUAUUUUUACCUUUAAGGGCGGAUCCUGGAUUUUGAAAGGGGCGUUAUUCUACAAAAUAAAAGAAUAUUACCGAUUGAAGCGAGACUAAAAGCAAUAUUAUUAUAUUAUUAUGCUAAAACACGAUACUUUGUCCUAUCCAAGGGUGAGCGACCUAUUCACCCCACCCCUGAAUCCGCGUUCUGCCUUAAAACUACGACAAAGUUGAACUUUGAUUGAACAUUGUAGUUUCAACAUGUUCAAAAUAGGAAAAAAAAAGUCUCUCAUUCCUUUUUUUUUUUAUCUGAGCUGGGACAUAAAAUAUUUCAUCAUAUUUUGUGUACAACGUAAAUCUUAAAUCAGUGUUUUAAAGUCAGAAAGAUAGUUAAAACAAUGUUUGGAUAUUUCUGACAAAAAAAGAAAUGUAUCUAAGAAUAUCCGAAUAACAGAAAUCUGAUUUGGAUUAGUUUUAGAGUCAAUGGAAUUUAUAACAACUUUUUGAAUAUUUAUUCCUAAAAAAAGACUAUUUUUUGAUCGAAUCUAAUGAGGAUCAUAUUUAAGUUAGUUUCAAAACACGGGGGAUUAGCUGGAGAUUAAUCAGAAUUUAUUUAGAUGGACUCGUCUUAAAAAUUAAUACACUAGAUUAAAAGAAAUGUGUGGGGUUGAGAGAGUAAAAGAUUAGAAAGAGAAAUGUUUUUUCUGUUUAUUUAACAUUUUAAUUUAAGGUAAUAUAACAUCUUCCUCGGUUCAUCUUUCUCUAAGCAUAUCAUUGAGGGAAAGAAAUUCAAAAGUAAUUAAUCCAAAUUCAAUAACACUUUCGGUUAUGUUUUUUUCAUACACCGAUCAUUUCAAAUUACACAAUUUGUUAAAGUCUUAAUCGUCACUAAUUAAAUAAAAAUUGGGAAUAAAUUUAACAGAAACGAUAAAAAAAAUCUACCAAUAAAUCGCAAUUUUAGAAUAAGUCUAAAUAUAAAAAAAAAUAAAUUUAAAACUCACCAAAGUCGUAUUUCCCCCUUUCAUUACCCCACAAGAAACUUUCCUUGGAUCCGUGGAUUGCGGAAAUCGUCCACUCUUCUAAAACGUUCACGGAAAUUAAUGGCGUCAUGUGUUAAAACAAUUAUUUGCCAAUCAAAUCGGUAUAUACGUUUUAAUCUGCAAGCUCUUGAUGACCCUUUAACCCGACCUUUUACGUCGUCCGGGUUAAUGAGAGUCACCAGAGUCGUGCAGAUUAAAUCAAAUAUACCGACUUGCCUAAUUAGUCAAUAACAUACAUAUCAUGUCCAAGCUUCUCUUACAAAGCUUACAUACGAGAUCUGUAUUUUAUCCAGAUUGGUGUGUGUGCAUGAUCAAUAUAAAAAUACAUGAUUUCAAAUUGUCUUUUGAUUUGAAGUAAAAAAAAAGUAUCAUUUCAGAGUAAUGGCAAGCAACUGGAAUGUUUGUGGAGUUUGUGAACUACGCAACAUCAGUAAACUGUCAGUCAUAUGGUGUUCAGAUUGUGAGGAGGGUCUCUGUGAUGAAUGUAAGGACCAUCACACAGUUUAUCCAAAGGAACACGGAAUCAUAAAACCGUGACGAUAGCCGAGUACCAGAAGUUACCAAGCAAUGUUAUUCAAAUCGCACUGUCAUGUAGAAAACAUGAUCAAAAGUAUCAAAAAAUUUGUAAAAAGCAUGAUUGUCCGUGCUGUAAAAA
This 3612-nucleotide long non-coding RNA is filed under the name Mytilus galloprovincialis (Mediterranean mussel). The record is from RNAcentral. Lineage: Eukaryota; Metazoa; Mollusca; Bivalvia; Mytilida; Mytilidae.